This 484-nucleotide ribosomal RNA is filed under the name uncultured bacterium. Its description in RNAcentral is "partial 16S ribosomal RNA". It matches the Rfam family "Bacterial small subunit ribosomal RNA", at positions 30 to 507 of the family's 1533-position model. The record is from RNAcentral.
AUUGAACGCUGGCGGCAGGCCUAACACAUGCAAGUCGAGCGGAUGAAGGGAGCUUGCUCCUGGAUUCAGCGGCGGACGGGUGAGUAAUGCCUAGGAAUCUGCCUGGUAGAGGGGGAUAACGUCCGGAAACGGGCGCUGAUACCGCAUACGUCCUGAGGGAGAAAGUGGGGGAUCUUCGGACCACACGCUAUCAGAUGAGCCUAGGUCGGAUUAGCUAGUUGGUGGGGUAAAGGCCUACCAAGGCGACGAUCCGUAACUGGUCUGAGAGGAUGAUCAGUCACACUGGAACUGAGACACGGUCCAGACUCCUACGGGAGGCAGCAGUGGGGAAUAUUGGACAAUGGGCGAAAGCCUGAUCCAGCCAUGCCGCGUGUGUGAAGAAGGUCUUCGGAUUGUAAAGCACUGUAAGUUGGGAGGAAGGGCAGUAUGUUAAUACCUUGCUGUUUUGACGUUACCAACAGAAUAAGCACCGGCUAACUUCGUG